This 897-nucleotide ribosomal RNA is filed under the name uncultured archaeon. RNAcentral describes it as "bacterial SSU rRNA". It matches the Rfam family "Archaeal small subunit ribosomal RNA", at positions 1 to 879 of the family's 1478-position model. The record is from RNAcentral.
UUCCGGUUGAUCCUGCCGGACCCGACUGCUAUCGGGAUAAUGCUAAGCCAUGGGAGUCGAACGCCCCCAGCCACGUAGGGGCGUGGCGUACGUCUCAGUAGCGCACGGCUAAUCUACCCUUGGGAGGCGUAUAACCCCGGGAAACUGGGGCUAAUACCCCAUAGACGAGCAACCCUGGAACGGGUGCUCAUCGAAAGGGCGUGGGAGCAUGCUUCCACGUCGCCCAAGGAUGAGGCUGUGUUCCAUCAGGUAGUUGGCGAGGUAACGGCUCGCCAAGCCGAUAACGGAUGCGGGCAGUGAGAGCUGGAGCCCGGAGAUGGGCACUGAGACAAGGGCCCAGGCCCUACGGGGCGCACCAGGCGAGAAACCUUAGCAAUGCGGGAAACCGUGACUGGGCUAUCCCGAGUGCCAGCCGCUAAGGCUGGCUUUUCCCCAGAGUAAAAACCUGGGGGAAUAAGCGGGGGGCAAGACUGGUGUCAGCCGCCGCGGUAAUACCAGCUCCGCGAGUGGUCGGGACGAUUAUUGAGCCUAAAGCGCUCGUAGCCGGUUCGGUAAGUCCUGUGCUAAAUCCAACGGCUCAACCGUUGGGCCGCAUGGGAUACUGCCGGGCUAGGGAGCGGAAGAGGCCAGGGGUACUCCCGGGGUAGGGGCGAAAUCCUAUAAUCCCGGGAGGACGACCAGUGGCGAAGGCGCCUGGCUAGGACGCGUCCGACGGUGAGGGGCGAAAGCUGGGGGAGCGAACCGGAUUAGAUACCCGGGUAGUCCCAGCUGUAAACGAUGCGGAUUGGGUGCCGGUACGGCUUCGGGCCGUAUCGGUGCCUCAGGGAAGCCGUUAAAUCCGCCGCUUGGGGAGUACGGUCGCAAGACUGAAACUUAAAGGAAUUGGCGGGGGAGCAC